UGCUGACCUGCCCCUGCCCCCUCUCUGCCCAGGGCUCCCGGGAGCCGGGGGACACGCUGCCCCGGAAACUGAAGCA
Molecule: small nucleolar RNA, 76 nt
Organism: Cynocephalus volans (Philippine flying lemur)
Lineage: Eukaryota; Metazoa; Chordata; Mammalia; Dermoptera; Cynocephalidae
Product: Z6 small nucleolar RNA
Exons: 1
Source: RefSeq, a predicted model, not a curated record